GGAGAGUUGAAGGUCUGAGUCCAGAAGACUGAAGAAACUGUUGAUAGGAAUGAUGGGCCCAGCUUUGUUAAUGAGACUUAAUUAUAGGGUAAUCUCUCAGAAAGUGGAGUGCAAAAAUUUAACUUUGAAGAGAGAGAAAGAGAGAAAGAAAGAGAGAAAACAAGGAACAGAGAGACAGGGACAGAGACAGAACUGAAGAAAAAAAGAAAAAUGGAGAUGGGGGAAAAAAGAGAACAAGCUUUACUUUGGGGAGAAAGUUAUAUUUUACUGGAGAAUAAACAAAUACAUGACCAGAUAUAUAAACACAAAAAUGGAAGAAGAUUAUGACAUUUUAUUUUGUAAUCGGAUAGAUGUGAGAAAGUACACCACAGUUAUUUUUUCAAGGCAAUCCCAAUAAAUUUUGGAUAGAAAUAGCACCUGCAUCCAAAAAACA
Molecule: long non-coding RNA, 433 nt
Organism: Antechinus flavipes (yellow-footed antechinus)
Lineage: Eukaryota; Metazoa; Chordata; Mammalia; Dasyuromorphia; Dasyuridae
Exons: 4
Source: RefSeq, a predicted model, not a curated record